GAUGAACGCUAGCUACAGGCUUAACACAUGCAAGUCGAGGGGCAUCAGGAAGAAAGCUUGCUUUCUUUGCUGGCGACCGGCGCACGGGUGAGUAACACGUAUCCAACCUGCCCUUUACUCGGGGAUAGCCUUUCGAAAGAAAGAUUAAUACCCGAUAGCAUAAUGAUUCCGCAUGGUUUCAUUAUUAAAGGAUUCCGGUAAAGGAUGGGGAUGCGUUCCAUUAGGUUGUUGGUGAGGUAACGGCUCACCAAGCCUUCGAUGGAUAGGGGUUCUGAGAGGAAGGUCCCCCACAUUGGAACUGAGACACGGUCCAAACUCCUACGGGAGGCAGCAGUGAGGAAUAUUGGUCAAUGGGCGCUAGCCUGAACCAGCCAAGUAGCGUGAAGGAUGAAGGCUCUAUGGGUCGUAAACUUCUUUUAUAUAAGAAUAAAGUGCAGUAUGUAUACUGUUUUGUAUGUAUUAUAUGAAUAAGGAUCGGCUAACUCCGUGCCAGCAGCCGCGGUAAUACGGAGGAUCCGAGCGUUAUCCGGAUUUAUUGGGUUUAAAGGGAGCGUAGGUGGACUGGUAAGUCAGUUGUGAAAGUUUGCGGCUCAACCGUAAAAUUGCAGUUGAUACUGUCAGUCUUGAGUACAGUAGAGGUGGGCGGAAUUCGUGGUGUAGCGGUGAAAUGCUUAGAUAUCACGAAGAACUCCGAUUGCGAAGGCAGCUCACUGGACUGCAACUGACACUGAUGCUCGAAAGUGUGGGUAUCANACAGG
RNAcentral lists this ribosomal RNA (758 nucleotides) under uncultured bacterium. RNAcentral describes it as "bacterial SSU rRNA". It matches the Rfam family "Bacterial small subunit ribosomal RNA", at positions 28 to 776 of the family's 1533-position model. The record is from RNAcentral.